GAUCAAGAACGUAGCGAAAUGCGAUACUUGGUGUGAAUUGCAGAAUCCCGUGAACCAUCGAGUCUUUGAACGCAAGUUGCGCCUCAAGCCAUUAGGUUGAGGGCACGUCUGCCUGGGCGUCACAUAUCGUUGCCUGAUGCCAGUUUCCUCGUGAUGGGUGACUGUGCAGGGCGAAUGAUGGCUUCCCGUGAGCAUUGUUGCCUCAUGGUUGGUUGAAAAUUGAGUCCUUGGUAGGGAGCGCCGUGAUAGAUGGUGGUUGAGUGACGAACGAGACCCAAUCAUGUGAGACCCCUACCGAAUUUGGCCUUCAUGACCCACAUGCGUCUUUGGAACGCUCAUGACGAGACCUCAGGUCAGGCGGGGCUACCCGCUGAGUUUAAGCAUAUCAAUAAGCGGAGGA
This 400-nucleotide unclassified non-coding RNA is filed under the name soil metagenome. RNAcentral's name for it is "partial contains 5.8S ribosomal RNA, internal transcribed spacer 2, and large subunit ribosomal RNA". The stretch from base 1 to 122 matches the Rfam family "5.8S ribosomal RNA", at positions 35 to 154 of the family's 154-position model. The record is from RNAcentral.